Molecule: ribosomal RNA, 492 nt
Filed under: uncultured bacterium
Lineage: Bacteria
Description: partial 16S ribosomal RNA
Rfam family: Bacterial small subunit ribosomal RNA
Source: RNAcentral
AGUGAACGCUGGCGGUAGGCCUAACACAUGCAAGUCGAACGGCAGCACAGUAAGAGCUUGCUCUUACGGGUGGCGAGUGGCGGACGGGUGAGGAAUACAUCGGAAUCUACUUUUUCGUGGGGGAUAACGUAGGGAAACUUACGCUAAUACCGCAUACGACCUACGGGUGAAAGCAGGGGAUCUUCGGACCUUGCGCGAUUGAAUGAGCCGAUGUCGGAUUAGCUAGUUGGCGGGGUAAAGGCCCACCAAGGCGACGAUCCGUAGCUGGUCUGAGAGGAUGAUCAGCCACACUGGAACUGGACCACGGUCCAGACUCCUACGGGAGGCAGCAGUGUGGAAUAUUGGACAAUGGGCGCAAGCCUGAUCCAGCCAUACCGCGUGGGUGACGAAGGCCUUCGGGUUGUAAAGCCCUUUUGUUGGGAGAGAAAAGCAGCAGGUUAAUACCCCGCUGUUCUGACGGUACCCAAAGAAUAAGCACCGGCUAACUUCGUG